UAUCUCUGUAGAGUCUGCAUAUCAAUAAGCGGAGGAAAAGAAACUAACAAGGAUUCCCUUAGUAACGGCGAGUGAAGCGGGAAGAGCUCAAAUUUGAAAUCUUCAAGGUUUUACCUUGACGAAUUGUAGUUUAAAGAAGUGUUUUCUGUUGAAGUUUCGGUAAAAGUUCUUUGGAAUAGGACAUCAUAGAGGGUGAGAAUCCCGUAUUUGACCGUUAUUUUCAGCUGUGUGAUACACUUUCAAAGAGUCGGAUUGUUUGGGAAUGCAGUCCAAAAUGGGUGGUAAAUUUCAUCUAAAGCUAAAUAUUGGCGAGAGACCGAUAGCGAACAAGUACCGUGAGGGAAAGAUGAAAAGAACUUUGAAAAGAGAGUUAAACAGUACGUGAAAUUGUCAAAAGGGAAGCGUUUGACACCAGUGUUGUUUUCUCGAAAAUCAAUUAAAAAAAGUUGGAUUUUGUAUUGUUAAGACCUUAUCAGCUUACUGUACUCUUUUCUUGCUUUUUUUAAUGCACUUUUCGUUUAACAAGUCAACAUCAAUUUCUUUUGUUGUAAAAGAGUCAUUGGAAGGUGGCUUUCACUUCGGUGAAAGUGUUUAUAGCCUUUGGCUUCUGCAAUCGGAGAGAUUGAGGUCUGCAGCGUAGAUCCUUCGGGGCUAGAUACGUAGAUGCUAAGUUAUAGUUUUUUAUAGACAACUUGUUGACUAUAAUUAAUCAUGUAGCUUACUCGUUUGCGCUAUUUUACCUACGCUUAGGAUGUUGAAGAUGUAGCACAUCAU
This 774-nucleotide ribosomal RNA is filed under the name uncultured Neocallimastigales. RNAcentral's name for it is "partial large subunit ribosomal RNA". It matches the Rfam family "Eukaryotic large subunit ribosomal RNA", at positions 24 to 635 of the family's 3401-position model. The record is from RNAcentral. Lineage: Eukaryota; Fungi; Neocallimastigomycota; Neocallimastigomycetes; Neocallimastigales.